UAACAAGGCUCCAGGGACACUAGCCACUUUGCUAAUCUUCAGGGAGGUGUCCAUGACAUGGCUGUCACCAUGAUGAGUCCUCGGGUUUUGCUUCUGCUGGUGCUGGUGGCUCUGGCUCUGAGCAUCUGUCUGGGUGUCGGCACUGGAAACUGGGGCUGUGCCAAUUACCGGGGUUUCUGCCGGGCCGCCUGCUUUCCCCAGGAGAUUUCUCUGGGCCCCAAGGACUGUGCUGGAGAGUUUGUCUGCUGUGUGUCAAGUGCUUCUGGAUAAGAGUGCCUUAGCCCAAGGAGUCUAUGGUACAUGAGAUGAAGCCCCACAGGAACUUUACUGGCCUUGGGAAGAACAUAAUUAUCAGCAAGUCCUGGAACCUGCACAAAACCUUCACUGUUUCAUUACAAUGAAUAGCGUGUGGAUAAUUUUGGUCUUGAUCCUUCCCAUUGAAAUCAAUGGGAAAAUCCCUAUUGACUUCAAUGGGAGAAGGAUGGGGCUGUUUCUCUGCCUUCUGUAAUAACAUUUAUCCAGUGCAGCAGCAUAAGUACCAGAUUUGGCUUUAUGAUUUUGGGAACCUUCAGUCAGAUUAUAACCUGCAGGGGGCACACCCAUCUCUGUUGUCUCUUUUCAUCCCCCACUCACAAUCUUCCCCACCUCCUUUUUCUCUGCCAAAUGGACACAUAGGCUAUAGAGUACCGAUCAAUGUGCUCAAAGAUGAAGUGGACUCAAAGUCCCCAGGUUCAUUGUGAGACUGUCCUGCCCACUGGUGGGUCUGGCACACUGGGAUGGCCCACAAAUUUCACAUAUUCCUAAAACCAACCCAGAUGUUCUGUGACAGGCCCUGUUUCUUUAGUUUAGGGAUCAAUCCACUACAAUGCUUGACUGAUAUUUCAGUAAAAAGAACAGGAGUACUUGUGGCACCUUAGAGACUAACAAAUUUAUUUGAGCAUAAGCUUUCGUGGGCUAUAGCCCACUUCUUCAGAUGCAUAGA
Molecule: non-coding RNA, 982 nt
Organism: Chrysemys picta bellii (western painted turtle)
Lineage: Eukaryota; Metazoa; Chordata; Testudines; Emydidae
Source: RefSeq, a predicted model, not a curated record